CAAGACAGGACAGAAAAAUGAUUGUAGGCGAAUGACAACUAAAGAGGAGAGAUGCUCUCUCUCUUUGCUGGUGCUCCUGCUCACCAGCAAAGUUCCCAGAUGUAAUUACUGGAUGUAAUGUCAUGAAUCAAGAAAAAAAACAACAACAAGAAUUUUAAGCUUGAAAGGUUUAAAAGAAUCUAAUACCUGAAGAACAGAGACUGCUGAGACCUGGGAAACUCACUUCCUUGGGAUCAAAUUCAGAAAAUGCUGUGAAUACUGUAUGCUUGGGAGGGAAAUAAAGAAUCAUGGCAUGCACUACCGCAGUCUUACUGUGGACACCAGCGAGAGAUGCUGAGCCUGAGAUGUCACCCUCACAACUCAUAAGACCUGCCCACCAAGUUGCAGAGACUACUAUGAUUCUAUCCUGACUUCACUGAGCAGAUGACCUCACCAAUGUGUCCUAGAGCCUUACCUUUCCAGAGCCCUGCCCCACUAGGGAAAGAUAGAAAUAAUCUGGGGAUAUGAAUUGACCUGCCAACAUCCG
Molecule: long non-coding RNA, 526 nt
Organism: Erinaceus europaeus (western European hedgehog)
Lineage: Eukaryota; Metazoa; Chordata; Mammalia; Eulipotyphla; Erinaceidae
Exons: 3
Source: RefSeq, a predicted model, not a curated record